This 491-nucleotide ribosomal RNA is filed under the name uncultured bacterium. RNAcentral describes it as "partial 16S ribosomal RNA". It matches the Rfam family "Bacterial small subunit ribosomal RNA", at positions 28 to 507 of the family's 1533-position model. The record is from RNAcentral.
GAUGAACGCUGGCUACAGGCUUAACACAUGCAAGUCGAGGGGAAACGACCGGGCAGCUUGCUUCUCCGGGCGUCGACCGGCGCACGGGUGAGUAACGCGUAUCCAACCUGCCUCUGACUGAGGGCCAACCCGUCGAAAGUCGGCCUAAUACCUCAUGGCAUCGUCCGCGGCUAUCCAACGACGAUUAAAGCUUUCAUCGGUCAGGGAUGGGGAUGCGUCUGAUUAGCUUGUUGGCGGGGUAACGGCCCACCAAGGCUACGAUCAGUAGGGGUUCUGAGAGGAAGGUCCCCCACAUGGGAACUGAGACACGGACCAAACUCCUACGGGAGGCAGCAGUGGGCGAUAUUGGGAAAUAGACUGUGGUCUGAGCCAAGCAUGGAGGGUGCAGAAAAGUGGCCGUAGGUGUUAUAAACUGCUUUUAUGCGAGGACAAAAGAGGGAGCGGGUCCUAGAGUGCAGGUACCGAAUAAAUAAGAACCGGCUAAUUUCAUG